UAAAUGUGGUGUUACCUCUCCCUAUCUCCUGAUUCAUCUCCACCACCAAUACACUUCCUCCCGAUCUUUCUCAUCGCCAUGUCUGCGCUGCCCAAUCAGCCUCCUUGUGCAGUCGCUCGAUGAUGCUGAUCGACACCAUCGCUCGAUCGUCGGACGCCACCGACCCUCCUCCUCUUCCAAUCUCGUUGACGCCAAGUUAUUCUCCCAAUCUUGACUCUGCCCUAAAUCUCAUCACCCCUCUCCAUUUUCCUUGUGUCGUCGCUGACCUCCACGGCCAGACGUCGAUCGCCAAUCACUUUGCCACUCCGACCGCAAGACACUGGCGCCCCACUCCUAUGCACCACCACAUCCUCUUCUUCCCGGCAGCCAAGCUUUUGGUUGCGCCCUAGAGACGCCGUCGAGCUGCCUCCUUCCAAUCCGACACCACCGUUUCCUCUUGUUGCGGUACUCUCUCUAGAUUUGGAGAAGAGGGGAGCUCUAAUUCCACUAUAGUAGCAUUUGGAUUUUUGACAAAGAGGAAGCUACAGAUCUGGAUUAAGGCUCCUUGCUAAUUGACCACAUUAAUCGGAAGGUCUGUCGGUAGUCUAGGAAGCAGAACAAAGACCAUGGUCACCAUUGCAACAGUAGACUUUGGCAGCGUGAAGAUUUCUAUGGUGUUCUAUUGUCGCAGGCCAUCCCUCCAGUCAUGAACUAUCAACAAACAUCAUUGGAUUGUGGUAACAAGUAGAGGAUUUAUGGAGUUGCCUAGAGAUCAUGUCCGCCAGUCCCAUGUCACAUCAAGCGCCUUUUUCCGUUAUUGCUUUUGUUCGCAUUAUUAGCUUUGGAUUUGUUUGUGUAUAUGUAUCUUUUGAAUGGAGUUUAGCUUUGUGGUUUCUUAUAUUUGGUUUGAUGUUGUUGUGUCAAGCCAACCUGACACGUAGUUAGUUGUAUUGUGGUUUUGUGGUUGUUAUUUUGUGACUUUCGUUGUGUUUUGUUUCA
Molecule: long non-coding RNA, 978 nt
Organism: Zingiber officinale
Lineage: Eukaryota; Viridiplantae; Streptophyta; Magnoliopsida; Zingiberales; Zingiberaceae
Exons: 3
Source: RefSeq, a predicted model, not a curated record